Molecule: ribosomal RNA, 478 nt
Filed under: uncultured bacterium
Lineage: Bacteria
Description: partial 16S ribosomal RNA
Rfam family: Bacterial small subunit ribosomal RNA
Source: RNAcentral
GAUGAACGCUGGCGGCGUGCUUAACACAUGCAAGUCGAACGGGAAAUAUUUCAUUGAGACUUCGGUGGAUUUGAUUUAUUUCUAGUGGCGGACGGGUGAGUAACGCGUGGGUAACCUGCCUUAUACAGGGGGAUAACAGUCAGAAAUGGCUGCUAAUACCGCAUAAGCGCACAGAGCUGCAUGGCUCAGUGUGAAAAACUCCGGUGGUAUAAGAUGGACCCGCGUUGGAUUAGCUAGUUGGUGGGGUAACGGCCCACCAAGGCGACGAUCCAUAGCCGGCCUGAGAGGGUGAACGGACACAUUGGGACUGAGACACGGCCCAGACUCCUGCGGGAGGCAGCAGUGGGGAAUAUUGCACAAUGGGGGAAACCCUGAUGCAGCGACGCCGCGUGAAGGAAGAAGUAUCUCGGUAUGUAAACUUCUAUCAGCAGGGAAGAUAGUGACGGUACCUGAAUAAGAAGCCCCGGCUAACUACGUG